RNAcentral lists this ribosomal RNA (274 nucleotides) under uncultured bacterium. Its description in RNAcentral is "partial 16S ribosomal RNA". It matches the Rfam family "Bacterial small subunit ribosomal RNA", at positions 523 to 796 of the family's 1533-position model. The record is from RNAcentral.
AUACAGAGGGUGCAAACGUUGUUCGGAAUCACUGGGCUUAAAGCGCGCGUAGGCGGCGACAUCAGUGUCUUGUGAAAGCCCCCGGCUCAACCGGGGAACUGCAGGGCAUACUGUGUUGCUAGAGUACGAGAGGGGAGAGGAUAACUCCUGGUGGAGCGGUGGAAUGCGUAGAUAUCAGGAGGAAUGCCGAAGGUGAAGACACCUCUCUGGCUCGUAACUGACGCUAAGGCGCGAAAGCUAGGGUAGCGAACGGGAUUAGAUACCCGUGUAGUCC